Molecule: ribosomal RNA, 240 nt
Filed under: uncultured bacterium
Lineage: Bacteria
Description: partial 16S ribosomal RNA
Rfam family: Bacterial small subunit ribosomal RNA
Source: RNAcentral
CCGGCACGGGUGAGUAACACGUAUGCAAUCCACCUGUAACAGGGGGAUAACCCGGAGAAAUCCGGACUAAUACCCAUAAUAUGGGCGCUCCGCAUGGAGGGUCCAUUAAAGAGAGCAAUCUUGGUUACAGACGAGCAUGCGCUCCAUUAGCCAGUUGGCGGGGUAACGGCCCACCAAGGCGACGAUGGAUAGGGGUUCUGAGAGGAAGGUCCCCCACAUUGGAACUGAGACACGGUCCAA